AUAAUAUGGGGUCUAUGCAUAAAGUUAAUCAAUUUUCUUAAUAUGUCCAAUCCUUAUUACAGGUUCAAGUCUAAAUUCAUGCUUCAUUUGUAUUCUAUAUUUUAUACACUUCUAUUAACAGGCGCAAAUAACACGUGCAACACAUGUACGUGCUAAAACUAGUAAGAUGUAUGAAUAUGGGCUCAAGGGAAUAUAUAAUGUAAAGCAAUAUAUACGGGAAACUCCUCUAUAUUUCUUCCAACUUUCUAAGUCGG
RNAcentral lists this unclassified non-coding RNA (254 nucleotides) under Hevea brasiliensis (rubber tree). The record is from RNAcentral. Lineage: Eukaryota; Viridiplantae; Streptophyta; Magnoliopsida; Malpighiales; Euphorbiaceae.